UGCUGUGUCACGUAUUCAGGAUAUCUACAUCUGCCUGGUGUAGUUUUGGUGUUCGGGGAUGCUAAAAUCAAGUUCGUUCAUCUUCGUUUUCUGCCACAAGAGGAGUGAGCGCGAGAACGAAUGUUGUUCGAAACACUCGGCUAUUAGACACAGCAGUGGUGUCAUGUGUGCUGAGCUUAUUUUGCUGCCGAUGACUACGAAGAAGAUGCCGUAGACGGCGAAUUGCGAAGGCGUCCGAAGCAAAUUGCCGUUCAGUAACCAGUGAUUUUGCUUCACCGAAGUGACGAGUUCAACACAACUCUUAGGGGCUCUCCAGUGUUGAAGUGGCGCCAGACUACUACGUAUUGCGUGAAUCAGGCACUCAAGUUGACAUUACAGAUAUAGCUGAAAGCAGGUUUUACAACUCUAUCAAGUACGUCAAAACAUCAGAGGGCAGGAAGUCCUACUCUGUUUCCUAAAUCCCUGGACAAUAAAAAAGAGAGAUAUAG
Long non-coding RNA from Ornithodoros turicata, 488 nucleotides. RefSeq lists it as uncharacterized. The transcript is spliced from 3 exons. The record is from RefSeq and is a predicted model, not a curated record. Lineage: Eukaryota; Metazoa; Arthropoda; Arachnida; Ixodida; Argasidae.